CUUAAAGGAAUUGACGGGGGCCCGCACAAGCGGUGGAGCAUGUGGUUUAAUUCGACGCAACGCGCAGAACCUUACCAGGCCUUGACAUCCCACGCGACCUCGAGAGAUCGGGGGUUCCCUUCGGGGACGUGGAGACAGGUGCUGCAUGGCUGUCGUCAGCUCGUGUCGUGAGAUGUUGGGUUAAGUCCCGCAACGAGCGCAACCCUCGCCUUUAGUUGCCAUCAUUCAGUUGGGCACUCUAGAGGGACUGCCGGUGACAAGCCGGAGGAAGGUGGGGAUGACGUCAAGUCCUCAUGGCCCUUACGGCCUGGGCUACACACGUGCUACAAUGGCGGUGACAGAGGGCAGCGAUCCAGCGAUGGGGAGCCAAUCUCUAAAAGCCGUCUCAGUUCAGAUUGCACUCUGCAACUCGGGUGCAUGAAGGUGGAAUCGCUAGUAAUCGCAGAACAGCAGGCUGCGGUGAAUACGUUCCCGGGCCUUGUACACACCGCCCGUCACAC
RNAcentral lists this ribosomal RNA (500 nucleotides) under uncultured bacterium. RNAcentral describes it as "bacterial SSU rRNA". It matches the Rfam family "Bacterial small subunit ribosomal RNA", at positions 900 to 1402 of the family's 1533-position model. The record is from RNAcentral.